UCGAGGAUCUUCGGCAAUGGGCGCAAGCCUGACCGAGCGACGCCGCGUGCGGGAUGAAGGCUUUCGGGUUGUAAACCGCUGUCAGUGGGGAGGAAAUCGUAGAGGGUAAUCUCUCUAUGUUGACCUAUCCGCAGAGGAAGCAAGGGCUAAGUUCGUGCCAGCAGCCGCGGUAAGACGAACCUUGCUAACGUUAUUCGGAAUUACUGGGCUUAAAGGGUGCGUAGGCGGUGCGGAAAGUCGGGUGUGAAAUCCCCCAGCUCAACUGGGGAAUUGCGCCUGAAACUACCGUGCUCGAGGAAGACAGAGGUACGCGGAACUUAGGGUGGAGCGGUGAAAUGCGUUGAUAUCCUAAGGAACACCGGUGGCGAAAGCGGCGUACUGGGUCUUAUCUGACGCUGAGGCACGAAAGCUAGGGUAGCGAACGG
RNAcentral lists this ribosomal RNA (425 nucleotides) under uncultured bacterium. Its description in RNAcentral is "bacterial SSU rRNA". It matches the Rfam family "Bacterial small subunit ribosomal RNA", at positions 355 to 775 of the family's 1533-position model. The record is from RNAcentral.